RNAcentral lists this transfer RNA (64 nucleotides) under Dianemobius fascipes. Its description in RNAcentral is "tRNA-Phe". The record is from RNAcentral. Lineage: Eukaryota; Metazoa; Arthropoda; Insecta; Orthoptera; Trigonidiidae.
AUUUAAAUAGCUUAUGUAGAGCAUAAUAUUGAAGAUAUUAAGGAGAUUGAGUAGUCUUUAAAUG